ACUUGAUGAAUUAACUUAGCGAAGGAUAUAUGACUGUCGAUAAGAUGCUCGAGUAAUAAACCCCAAAACUUGGGUUUCCCUUGUCCAACUUCCAUUUUUCGAGCCAAACUUCCCCUUUCUUUCUUUGAGCCAUCAAACGCUCACCGACAUUCUCCUAAUUGGCAAGGUUUCAUUCAUGGACGUCGUCUCCCUCCUUCGCACUUCAUCCGCAUAAACAUUCUUCGGUGGCGCUUCGUUUUGUGGUUGCAGGGGCUGCGUGACAAAGUGUUGUUGCUGCGUUAGGAGGGCUUCAUGGAGGAGGUGACAACCAUGACGAGAGGCUUCCUGGUGCGUUAAGAGCGGUUUAGGGUUCAUGCGUCUCGAGGCUUAGGCCAUUAAGCCCUCUUCUUAUGCCCUCUUCUUCUUAGAACGAAUCUCUGAGUCUAUUCAAUACAUGCGUCUCAAAUGUUUAAGUCUUGAGAGCCAUAAGGGUUGAGCUUGUGGGAAUGUGUUUAUGUGCUGCCAGUGAGGACAUGUGUUGUUUAGACAUUUGAUUCUUAUUAAAUAUAUUGUAGAUUAUUGAGUCAGUUGGUU
Molecule: long non-coding RNA, 573 nt
Organism: Vigna angularis (adzuki bean)
Lineage: Eukaryota; Viridiplantae; Streptophyta; Magnoliopsida; Fabales; Fabaceae
Exons: 2
Source: RefSeq, a predicted model, not a curated record